GUGAGGGCCCUCUGGGUCCAACCUCCCACCCGUGUUUAUCAUACCUAGUUGCUUCGGCGGGCCCGCCGUCAUGGCCGCCGGGGGGCACCCGCCCCCGGGCCCGCGCCCGCCGAAGCCCCCCUGAACGCUGUCUGAAGAUUGCAGUCUGAGCGAUUAGCUAAAUCAGUUAAAACUUUCAACAACGGAUCUCUUGGUUCCGGCAUCGAUGAAGAACGCAGCGAAAUGCGAUAAGUAAUGUGAAUUGCAGAAUUCAGUGAAUCAUCGAGUCUUUGAACGCACAUUGCGCCCCCUGGUAUUCCGGGGGGCAUGCCUGUCCGAGCGUCAUUGCUGCCCUCAAGCACGGCUUGUGUGUUGGGCCCCCGCCCCCCGGCUCCCGGGGGGCGGGCCCGAAAGGCAGCGGCGGCACCGCGUCCGGUCCUCGAGCGUAUGGGGCUUCGUCACCCGCUCUGUAGGCCCGGCCGGCGCCCGCCGGCGACCCCCCUCAAUCUUCUCAGGUGACCUCGGAUC
This 507-nucleotide unclassified non-coding RNA is filed under the name Penicillium sp. CedarWA2. Its description in RNAcentral is "partial contains ITS1, 5.8S rRNA and ITS2". The stretch from base 171 to 324 matches the Rfam family "5.8S ribosomal RNA". Lineage: Eukaryota; Fungi; Ascomycota; Eurotiomycetes; Eurotiales; Aspergillaceae. The record is from RNAcentral.